UUUCCGUAGGUGAACCUGCGGAAGGAUCAUUACAAAAUGUUAUGGGAUGUCCUAACGGGCGCCCAAGCAAACACAUCUAUAUUAAACUUUUGAAACAAUUACUAGUCUGAUAAGGCCAUAUGCUGUAAAAAUUUAAAUAUAUUAAAACUUUCAACAACGGAUCUCUUGGCUCUC
Molecule: unclassified non-coding RNA, 174 nt
Filed under: plant metagenome
Description: partial contains small subunit ribosomal RNA, internal transcribed spacer 1, and 5.8S ribosomal RNA
Source: RNAcentral